GCGUCACACACCCGGCUGUCGCGUGCACAUUGCUACACUCGCCUCUUGCAACUUGAGAGUGAAGGAAAGGGAAGCUACUUGAAAAACAAGGCCUAGUCGAAAUGUACGAAAAUCGUCUCUUUAAUUUGAAUAUUUUUAUACCAAAGUCUUCCGUAACGAUGUGCUUUGUUGUGGCAGCGCCACUAAGGCUGUCUUCAAGCAUUUAGUCAGUCCAUGUAAGGUUACUAAAUGCUAGUAUUGACCAUACUUGUGUGGAAACCUCCUUUAUCCUGUGCUGUGUUUACACUGUACUACAGCAGCAGCAGCUUUAUAGAGAGAAGCAACCCUUCAGACUAACUCACACAUUUACUGGUUCAAUCUCAUCUCUACUGGAUCAAUCUCAUCUGUCUGCAGCACGACUGACCCAUCACCCCCCCGCCAGACGCCUCUCAGGAUCUGACUGACCUAUAUCUGCUUGCUCGGUCAGUGAGUACAAGCAUUCCAUCAGUUCAGAUCUGUGGGAAAGAGUCAAUGCUCAGUCAGAUGAGAGGACAUGAGGAAAAAGUGCUUCUAAGAUCUACAUUUGGGUCAGUAAGCUUCUCAUGUGUUUCAGACUGAUUUGCUUUGCUGCGUCACUUCACCAGGGUUGAGAGGAAGUAUGGCAGUAUGCACACCCAUGCAGGAAAUAUCCUUCACCAUCCUCUUACAUUCUUCCAAUUUGGUUUGAUGCCCAGAAGGGCUUUUGAGGCAGACAUGCACUGAAAGAUACCACAGUAUCAAAUUAUUAGUACACAGUAUAACAUAUGAACCUUUUGUGAAACAUGAAGGUUCUGUGAAUGUUAAAGGUUCUUUACAGCAAAAUAUGGUUCUUCCAUUGCACUGUAAAGCAUCUUAAAGUAUGUGGAUUCCAUCUUUAUUAAAGGGGACAUUUGACAAGACUUUUUAAAAAAUGUUAAAUAAAUCUUUGGUGUCCCCAGA
Non-coding RNA from Misgurnus anguillicaudatus (oriental weatherfish), 957 nucleotides. NCBI's taxonomy places the organism in Eukaryota, Metazoa, Chordata, Actinopteri, Cypriniformes, Cobitidae. The record is from RefSeq and is a predicted model, not a curated record.